RNAcentral lists this ribosomal RNA (253 nucleotides) under uncultured bacterium. Its description in RNAcentral is "partial 16S ribosomal RNA". It matches the Rfam family "Bacterial small subunit ribosomal RNA", at positions 524 to 776 of the family's 1533-position model. The record is from RNAcentral.
UACGGAGGUGGCAAGCGUUGCUCGGAAUCACUGGGCGUAAAGGGCGCGUAGGCGGGGAGGUAAGUCGGGUGUGAAAUCCCUCGGCUCAACUGAGGAACUGCACAGGAAACUGCUUGGCUUGAGUUCGGGAGAGGGAAGCGGAAUUCCGGGUGUAGCGGUGAAAUGCGUAGAUAUCCGGAGGAACACCGGUGGCGAAGGCGGCUUCCUGGACCGACACUGACGCUGAGGCGCGAAAGCUAGGGGAGCAAACGGG